GAUGAACGCUGGCGGCGUGCCUAAUAAAUGCAAGUCGAGCGAACGGACGAGAAGCUUGCUUCUCUGAUGUUAGCGGCGGAAGGGUGAGUAACACGUGGAUAACCUACCUAUAAGACUGGGAUAACUUCGGGAAACCGUAGCUAAUACCGGAUAAUAUUUUGAACCGCAUGGUUCAAAAGUGAAAGACGGUCUUGCUGUCACUUAUAGAUGGAUCCGCGCUGCAUUAGCUAGUUGGUAAGGUAACGGCUUACCAAGGCAACGAUGCAUAGCCGACCUGAGAGGGUGAUCGGCCACACUGGAACUGAGACACGGUCCAGACUCCUACGGGAGGCAGCAGUAGGGAAUCUUCCGCAAUGGGCGAAAGCCUGACGGAGCAACGCCGCGUGAGUGAUGAAGGUCUUCGGAUCGUAAAACUCUGUUAUUAGGGAAGAACAUAUGUGUAAGUAACUGUGCACAUCUUGACGGUACCUAAUCAGAAAGCCACGGCUAACUACGUG
This 497-nucleotide ribosomal RNA is filed under the name uncultured bacterium. RNAcentral describes it as "partial 16S ribosomal RNA". It matches the Rfam family "Bacterial small subunit ribosomal RNA", at positions 28 to 507 of the family's 1533-position model. The record is from RNAcentral.